AUUGAACGCUGGCGGCAUGCCUUACACAUGCAAGUCGAACGGCAGCGGACCUUCGGGUGCCGGCGAGUGGCGAACGGGUGAGUAAUGCAUCGGAACGUGCCAUUGAGUGGGGGAUAACGUAGCGAAAGUUACGCUAAUACCGCAUAUUCUGUGAGCAGGAAAGCAGGGGACCGCAAGGCCUUGCGCUCUUUGAGCGGCCGAUGUCAGAUUAGCUAGUUGGUGAGGUAAAGGCUUACCAAGGCGACGAUCUGUAGCGGGUCUGAGAGGAUGAUCCGCCACACUGGAACUGAGACACGGUCCAGACUCCUACGGGAGGCAGCAGUGGGGAAUUUUGGACAAUGGGCGCAAGCCUGAUCCAGCCAUGCCCGCGUGAGUGAAGAAGGCCUGGUGU
RNAcentral lists this ribosomal RNA (391 nucleotides) under uncultured bacterium. RNAcentral's name for it is "bacterial SSU rRNA". It matches the Rfam family "Bacterial small subunit ribosomal RNA", at positions 30 to 422 of the family's 1533-position model. The record is from RNAcentral.